GAUGAACGCUGGCGGCGUGCUUAACACAUGCAAGUCGAACGGAAAGGCCCAAGCUUGCUUGGGUACUCGAGUGGCGAACGGGUGAGUAACACGUGGGUGAUCUGCCCUGCACUUCGGGAUAAGCCUGGGAAACUGGGUCUAAUACCGGAUAGGACCACAUUUUGGAUGGUGUGGUGGAAAGUUUUUCGGUGUGGGAUGAGCUCGCGGCCUAUCAGCUUGUUGGUGGGGUAAUGGCCUACCAAGGCGUCGACGGGUAGCCGGCCUGAGAGGGUGUACGGCCACAUUGGGACUGAGAGACGGCCCAGACUCCUACGGGAGGCAGCAGUGGGGAAUAGUGCACAAGGGGCGCAAGCCUGAUGCAGCGACGCCGCGUGGGGGAUGACGGCCUUCGGGUUGUAAACUCCUUUCGCUAGGGACGAAGCGUUAUGUGACGGUACCUGGAGAAGAAGCACCGGCUAACUACGUG
This 466-nucleotide ribosomal RNA is filed under the name uncultured bacterium. Its description in RNAcentral is "partial 16S ribosomal RNA". It matches the Rfam family "Bacterial small subunit ribosomal RNA", at positions 28 to 507 of the family's 1533-position model. The record is from RNAcentral.